GAAGGUGGGGAUGACGUCAAGUCCUCAUGGCCCUUAUGGUAGGGCUUCACACGUCAUCAAUGGUCGGUACAGAGGGCUGCCAACCCGUAAGGGGAGCCAAUCCUUUAAAACCGAUCGUAGUCCGGAUUGAGGUCUGCAACUCGACCUCAUGAAGUCGGAAUCGCUAGUAAUCGCGGAUCAGCAUGUCGCGGUGAAUACGUUCCCGGGUCUU
RNAcentral lists this ribosomal RNA (211 nucleotides) under uncultured Alcaligenaceae bacterium. RNAcentral describes it as "partial 16S ribosomal RNA". It matches the Rfam family "Bacterial small subunit ribosomal RNA", at positions 1169 to 1382 of the family's 1533-position model. Lineage: Bacteria; Pseudomonadati; Pseudomonadota; Betaproteobacteria; Burkholderiales; Alcaligenaceae. The record is from RNAcentral.